Rhopilema esculentum is the source of this 4404-nucleotide non-coding RNA. Lineage: Eukaryota; Metazoa; Cnidaria; Scyphozoa; Rhizostomeae; Rhizostomatidae. The record is from RefSeq and is a predicted model, not a curated record.
ACUCUAUUCUAGAAUAUUCCUAUAAGAGAGGAUAAAGAAGACAAGACGACAAGGAUGCAGGCAGUCGCCCAGUAGUGCACUCGUUCCGUUGGUUUCAAAAUGAAAAAUUUGUGACCUAAGAAUGAGGUUAUUUAUUGUUUUGAUAGCAUUUGUUUUACCGGUAUCACAGCUUAUGGCAUUAAGUUGCAGACACCACGAAUUUAUAAUAAAAAGGAAGUCUGGUAAAAUUGAGUGCGAAAAAUGUGAACUGUGUCCUGCUGGGGAGGAGCCCGUUCCCGCUUGUGAGAGAAAAAUAUUGAAUAUUGAAGGAGAAUUCACAAAAGGAUGUCGAAUUUGUUCAAAAGGAAUGUAUAAAGACAGCCCAGAUGGUGAGCCUUCUACAAAAAAGUGUAGAAAUUGUAACAUUAUUGACUGCCGUGAGGGCUUCCGUGAAAUAGAGACGUGUAAUGUCUAUAAGGGCAAAAUCUGCUCUGAGGAUGAUUGUGAUUUGGAACAUUACAAACAGAACGAUGUUUGCAAAAAGUGUUGCCAAUGUGAAGGUUCGUUGAAAGUUGAGCCGAAAUGCAAACAUACAGCCAAGCGUUGCUCCUCAGAUGAAUUUAAUAAAUGUGCAGACCUUCCAAGGACAACUACCAUGGCAUCAACAACAUUGAAAAGUACAACCCAAAGGACCACAAAAGGACGUAUGACCCCAGGACGUACGACACCAGCAACUUCAACCGAGACUAAAAUCCCAGGAACCUCAGCAAAAACCAAGCCUGACACCACCAAUGUGAUGACAACUCGCUCAUCAACAGCUGAUAGUCUUUCCAUCACAACACCAAAACGCAUAGCAUCGACAUUGCUUUUAAAAACUACUCCAUACACUCAAAUAAUCAGGCUUUCAACUGCGUUCAGGACAAGAAAAACGACCAAAAAAAUUAGAACAGGCACUAUAAUUAUUUUUCCAAGCACUAGUGUUGUCGCGAAAGACACAUCAACAUCCAAAAUAGGACCUGUUUCUAAGAUGUCUCGUGAUGCAGAGAAUUCUCGCAAUGUCUCUCUCACAACUGUUGUUCCAGCUGUGCUAGCUGUUAUUGUAAUAAUUGUUAUACUUAUCUGCUUAUGGUGUUCCCGAAAGAAAGAUCUAAGCCAAUGUUUUUUAGGUUGGAGAGGAGGCGAUAUUGAAUCGGGUCGAAGGAGAGACAGAGAUGGUCUAUCUGAAGAUGGUAUACCUUUGAACCAACACAACACUAAUGGUAGAUCGUUUUCAGGAGAAGGUUCAGGAACUGCCUCUCCAGCAGAAGAUCAAAAACUUUUGGUCAACAUUCCACCACCAGAAGGAGGCGCUUGGAACAAACCUCCUAGCGUAAGUGAUCAUGUUGAUAGAAAAGAAAACGAUCAAGAAUCCGCCUCUCCAGCAGAAGAACAAAAACUUUUGGUCGACAUUCCACCAGAGGAAGGUAAUAUUUCCAGCGCUUGGAACAAACCUCCUAGCGUAAGUGAUCAUGUUGAUAGAAAAGAAAACGAUCAAGAAUCCGCCUCUCCAGCAGAAGAACAAAAACUUUUGGUCGACAUUCCACCAGAGGAAGGUAAUAUUUCCAACUCCCUGAAGCGAUCUAAUAGCGUGAUGAAGAAAACAGAGGAUGAAACACUGACCCAAAAGAUAGAGGUGACAGCAAAGAAUCUUUUGAAACUGAAACUGUGCUGUGAAUGUGGUGCAAAAGCUGAUCAAUCUAUAGAUGAUGAAAAUAGAAAUAUUGGUGCACAAAUACAGCAGCUUAAGUUAUACAAAAAAGAUCUCGUGCAAAUAUACCGUUACAUAACACGCGAUCUUAGCGAAAUUGAAAUUCAUGAUGGCUGGGCCUUAACUCGGGGCAUUGUGGCACGUGAGCCGAACGCAUCUUGCGCGCAACUUUUAGGAGCAUUACAAAUAAUGGGAAGAAAAGGAGAUCUCACAAGGUACCAUGAAGAGUUUCACAGUAUAUAAACUGAAGUACGUGUAAACAUUUUAAUGUAAUUUAAUGCAUUAAAAAGUCACUUUACGUUCGUAAUAUCGUCCCCUUUCUAGCCAUUUUCAGAUCGUAGUCCCGAAAUCCGAACGUUACUUUCAAAACUUUCGACAGCAAUUUUCUUGUGUCGGGAAUAAACGCUCCCUUCGUUUAUUUGUUUCAAGAUUUUUGACGAUAUCAGCAUUUCAUUUCAACCACUUGUUUCAUCGACAAAAAGAUUGAUUAGAAAUUUGUAGGUUACGGUAAACGUUUUCUGGAUGAAAACAUCCAUUUUUGAUUAUUUCACAUUCAAGUAGCCGAACUUUCAAGGAACACAAUGAUACCAAAUUUGAAACUAACAGAAAUUUUGAAAAUGGAAGAAAUCCCAUGUAAACGAAGGUUUCCAGAAUUUCUUUAUCAAAACUUUUAGUUGAGGUCUAAAAAUCUCUUGACCUGUAAAGCCGAUUAUCGUUGCUUUGCGGUUGUGGUCCCAUGUCUCAUUUACAAUAUCGCCGGCACAUCCAUGUAUCCCAUGCACGGCUGUGUUACAUGGUAGCUUAGGAUCUGCGCUUUCUGCUGAUACAAGUCAGAUUUUGAUACCUCAAACGCAAGGGUACAAAAUAGCUUUUGAAGGUGGUACACUCAUUUGAGCAAUAAAGUUGCCUGAAAAAUAUCAUUUUACAAUAUUUACCAAUUAUUUUGAUAUGGUUGGAAUCGCCACGUUCUUGUGCAUCGAAUGUUGUAUAGUUCUAUAUGAUUCCGUUGAUACCUUUACUUUUAGGGAGAGAAAACCAAAUAUCGUGUCAAAAACGUUUAUCGUAACUUUAAAUUCAAAAUGUUUUUGCGACCACUUUUAGCAAUGCUCUAUCUUCAUUAAUUGUUUUUCAAAAUUGAACCUCUCUCCGUCCCCCCAAAUAUUCAAUUUUGGAUUUGGCCAUGGCCUCCGAUUCUUUAAACCCCAUCUUUUAUUCUUGAUCCCAGAGUUAUCCAUUAUGAAAAUUCCUCAUCGGACAUUAUUACGUUGGGUUUCCUGACACUCUUACAUGUCUUCUAUAUUUAGGAUUGCCCAUAUUGUCUAAAUUUCACUUAAUUAAUUUCCAUAGCCUUUUAAAGGGGAAAUUAGCUGCGGGGACAAGUCUUUCCUUAUAUAAAGAGGAGGACAAUGAUCUAUUGUUUAAAACAAUGGAAAGUCACAAAGGCUGGAUGUCCCCCCUAGUUAGUAUGUUAAAGAUAGCCAUUUUAACUUCAUUCACUUUCUACGCAUUUUGUACGUUUUUAUGAGUUUUGUAAACGGAACAUCAUUUUACAUAUAUCAGGCCUGAUGUGAAUUUUAUACUAAUUUUGUUUUACUAGUAGUAGUAAGAUAGGGUUAGAAUAGUGUCUUUUUCGGCAAAGUUUGUUAAGAAAAUAUUGAUAAGGGUACCACAACCGAUAUUUAGAUCUUUUUGUUAUCUUAAAUUUCACUUUAAUUACGGUUAUCAUAAGUGAUAAAAAUUCGUGUUCCCAAAAGUUGUUCGCCCAAACCCACUCCCCUCCCCCGGUAAAACUGAAAUUAAGCAUUGAGCUUGGUUCUUUUGAACAUAAAAACCUCGAAUAUUCCCUAAAGACGUUAAAAGCAUGAAGUGCUUCCUCGUCAAUUGCGGUCUGUGCAAACUCUAAGCGAGGUUUGCUAUUCUGCAGCACACGCUGUUUCGAAACCAGAUUUACUAGGCUGGCAAGUUCCCAUUUUCCAGAAUAUCUUACGAUUCACCGGAAGAAUCUCCUUGUACUGUUGGUUACUUUUGCCGUUAACUUAAUUGAAAGAAAGUUGGUAAAGAAUCAGAAUUUCAAGUUACAUGGAGUUCAUGAUUGUAAAAUGCGAUCUCUCGAUUUUCACCACAGCACCUUCUGCAGGAACAAAAAGUGGCCGGCCAAAGACUGGGGAAGCGAAAUAGGCACCUGGGGGCCUCAUCUUUGCUCUACUGCAUGCAGAGUUAUUACGAUGCAGAAAAGGAAGAGUAAAAACACAGGUACUAUUUAUUUCCAUCCUUAUUAAAAAAAAACAAAUGAAUAAACUUUUUAUUCUUGGUUAACAAAUCGGUUACCUGCAGAUGGUUUUAGUGCAAAAUUAACGACGAGUCGUGUGGAAUACAGAAAAUCUAUGCUUAUAUUCAUAAAUUGCUUAGUACAAGCUUGAUAUUCUUUACAAACAAAUUAUCCGCAAGUCGGUGUGUAUGAAAAAAAAGCCAUCAUAUUCGAACAGGUUUCAAAGCAAUAAAGAGAGCUCGCUUAGUGAAUAACCAAUAAGAUUUUCGGUUCACUCCUUAAUACCACGGAGACAGUUCCCGACUGCAAAAGCAUUUUAUCUGUUCGGUCUUUGUAUCAACCUCCCUUUCCACCCUGAUUGGUCCCUCGCUCUUGUAGCCACUCCCUAUAAAAUCUGGGACCAAAAAAG